UACAGAGGUCCCAAGCGUUGUUCGGAUUCACUGGGCGUAAAGGGUGCGUAGGCGGUUGGGUAAGUCUGAUGUGAAAUCUCACAGCUUAACUGUGAAACUGCAUUGGAUACUAUCCGGCUAGAGGAAUGGAGGGGAGACUGGAAAUACUUGGUGUAGCAGUGAAAUGCGUAGAUAUCAAGUGGAACACCAGUGGCGAAGGCGAGUCUCUGGACAUUUCCUGACGCUGAGGCACGAAAGCCAGGGGAGCAAACGGG
RNAcentral lists this ribosomal RNA (254 nucleotides) under uncultured bacterium. RNAcentral describes it as "partial 16S ribosomal RNA". It matches the Rfam family "Bacterial small subunit ribosomal RNA", at positions 524 to 776 of the family's 1533-position model. The record is from RNAcentral.